GCCUAUAGAGGAAAGGAAUACAUUAGCAGUCAAAAGAUAUACUACUUCAAUAAAUCCAUUGGUUGUCAAAUUAACAUUGUAGUGGUGGAAACAUUUUAGGAGGCCAUUAUAAGAUAUCAUAGGCUCAUAAGUUGUGGCAUAACGAGUCUGUAGUCCUAAAUUACGCACACCAACUACAUUAUUUCAUUCAAUUCCUCACACUCAGAUUUCGGAGACUUGUAAAGCAGAAUUACAAGGAAACAUUGAUGCCAAGUCAGAUGAAGGUGCACAAAGCAGGAAAUGCUAAUUUCUUGAGAAGUGUCUAGCUAAUAUAAAAGUUCUUUCUGCACAAUAUCAAUGUAAUGAAAGGUGGGGCUUCGGGGCGCUCCACCUGGAGCAGCAGUGUAACCUCAAUACAGCAAGUGCCGCAUGCUCUGUUCAAUCAGAUUCAUCAAGCAAACAAAUACAUUUCUCAUCUGUUGGUCAACUAGUCACUUCUAAGAAUAUACUUACCAAUGAUACUUUGAUAAUCAAGGGGCAGGAUGAUCAGUUAAAAAUAUAGUGUGAACAGGUAGAGGGUAGUAGUUAUUCAAAAUGGCAUAUGAUGUUCUAGAGUAGAGUGGCAAACUCCCACAUUAGUACUUUCAUUACAGUUCCCACAGAUUGAAUCACAUGGUGACCAGAAAGUGAAUCUAAAUCGCACAAGGGACAAAUACUGUGCUGGGAAAUCCUUCUGUGCAGAUGUCAUGACAAAGCUAGUUAUUUCUAUUUUGUUUUUAUGGUAAAAUAGCAAAGCUAGUUACUAAGAAAUAUAUAAGAUUUGAUGGAGGCUGGGCUCUUGUGGCCCUCAACUCUUGCAACUAUUCAUCAUAUUGUGGUCUCAAAAAAGAGCCGAGGUCCAUAAGCUAUAUGUAAGUUACGCCUCUUCCAGCAAGCUCUUGUGGCCCUCAACUCUUGCAACCAUUCAUCAUAUUGUGGUCUCAAGAAAGAGCCGAGGUCCAUAAGCUAUAUGUAAGUUACGCCUCUUCCAGCAAGCUCUUGUGGCCCUCAACUCUUGCAACCAUUCAUCAUAUUGUGGUCUCAAGAAAGAGCCGAGGUCCAUAAGCUAUAUGUAAGUUACGCCUCUUCCAGCAAGGCUCCAUGAAUGGCCACAUGGCAUCAUGUAGUAAGCAAAUCCAGGCCCACAAUCCACGUCAUCCCGCCCAUGUGGCAAUUUCUGCUGAACCCCCACGGAAGGCCAAACGCAUAUGCAGAGGUUGAACUCAUAUGACAUGGCCAAACCCUCAUUGAUGAGGCGAGACAAUAUGAGGCACUGCAGAUGAUGAUCUCUUCACCAAACAGUUAGUAUUUAACCUUUCAUACUAUAAAAGCUCACAUAUUAUGUCAUUUGAAGCUAAUGCAAUUUUAUUCUAUCAAUUAUAACUUUACUCUUACAGUAUUCUUUCUACAUUCAUACUCUCGGAUCUGAAACUCUUAUAUUGGGCUCACGUAUUUGGCACAUCCCACACCCAAAUGCUUAUUCACAAAUAGAUAGACUUGAUUCCAAUGAAAAAUCUUCGACUGUUCCAUUUCCAAAGUAAUUGAAGAGCACAAUUGGGUUCACCCUGAGAUCCGAAGAUGCCAACCAGAGUGAACCUGCAGAGAGUGGCCCAGCAAUAAUCUCCAUCAGGGCGGCCACAAUGAGAUAAAUUGGUGAAGCUGGGUUCUAAAUGAAAACUGAAUGAGAGGGCAAGCGAAACAUCGUCGGAGCGCUCGUGGCCGCCUCCCUCGGACCCCACCAGCGGAGAAAGUUUUGUACUCUUAACAGUUUGCCCAAGUGUACAAGAAGAAGCUACAUGGACGUGAGAGGAACCAGCAUCUGUUGGCCACGCCCCCACUACAAAAAACGAGGUCAACGCUAUCCAUGUAAAACUAAAAGACUUCACAAUACCACAAAGAUUAGAAUCAAGAGGCUAGUACUGCCAAUUAUCAAACUAUUGCUCCAAAAUGCAAGAUGGUUCUUCUCACUUAACGUCCAUGGUGAUCUAUAUAAACAGUUGUAUUAAGCCACAAAAAACGAGACGUGUGACAAAAUCUACACCAAUUACGCUUUCAUAAAAGUUAACAAAAAGGUAUGAAUUUCGUAACCACUUCUAAGCAAUCAACACAAAUAUAUAAAUAAACAGACGUGCAUAUAUGCAUAUAUAUCUCUAUUAAGAUGGUCAAUAGUGUCGUUCUCUUUAGUAGAUGAUCACCUG
This 2216-nucleotide long non-coding RNA is filed under the name Olea europaea (common olive). Its description in RNAcentral is "long non-coding RNA (OEUR_LNC001299)". The record is from RNAcentral. Lineage: Eukaryota; Viridiplantae; Streptophyta; Magnoliopsida; Lamiales; Oleaceae.